Molecule: long non-coding RNA, 2066 nt
Filed under: Triticum aestivum (bread wheat)
Lineage: Eukaryota; Viridiplantae; Streptophyta; Magnoliopsida; Poales; Poaceae
Description: long non-coding RNA (TAES_LNC015025)
Source: RNAcentral
UUGCCUUUGCACAAGACCCAGAUGGUUACAUGUUUGAGCUUAUCCAGAGGGGUCCGACGCCUGAGCCUCUCUGUCAAGUUAUGCUUCGUGUUGGUGACCUUGAUCGGGCUAUCAUGUUCUACGAGAAGGUAUUGUAUUGUAAAAUGGGAGGUUGUUUGAAAUGUUGGAGACAAUAUCCUUUCUGUAUAUUCUCUAGAACAAUAGUUAUAUGUGGGAUAUUCUAACAUUUGACUUUUAUGCAGGCCCUUGGGAUGAAGCUUCUGAGGAAGAAGGAUGUGCCUCAGUAUAAGGUACAUCACAUGACAAUUGUGUUUUCAUGCCAUUUGUCCUCUAAAUUUUGAUAUACUGAGCAUGUUUAUGAUUUGUGCAGUACACUAUUGCCAUGAUGGGCUAUGCUGAGGAGGACAAGACCACUGUUCUGGAGUUGACAUACAACUAUGGUGUCACGGAAUAUAACAAGGGCAAUGCAUAUGCUCAGGUAUUGACAAGUUUUCUUCUGCGCUUAUUUCCUCUUUUAAGUUUUGGCAUUUCUUAAUGCUUGUGUUGCCUAACUGCAGGUUGCUAUUGGCACUGACGAUGUGUACAAGAGCGCCGAAGCAGUUGAGCUGGUUACCAAAGAACUAGGUGGGAAGAUUCUAAGGCAGCCAGGGCCACUGCCAGGGCUGAACACCAAAAUCACCUCUUUCCUUGACCCAGAUGGCUGGAAAGUGGUAUGUUUUCUGGAUGUCUUAUGCAUAACACUGCUUUAUUUGAAUCGAAGGGGUCAUUAACAGUUAAUGAUGAAUGCAAGAUGAGCUUGCUGUAGUCAAUGCUUGGUUUAUAAAAUCUGAAGAGCGUACUGUAGUCAACGUAAUUAUUGCCAGUUAGUACAUAUUCCGCCCGUCUCUGAGAAGAAGGCCUAUAAAUUUGAAAUUUCGUCUGAAGCCAAAACGUACAUUGUCUGACCAUGUUUCUAAGAAAAACUAUCAACAACUACAAUUCUUAAUAAAAUAUAUACUAUGCAAAUAUAUUUUACUGUGUAUCUAAUAAAUAUACUGAGUAUUAACUUGGUACUGUGGACUGUGGUUCUUCAUAGUUUUAACUACGAACUUGGUCAGACUUUGCACCGCUUGACUUCAGGGAAAAAAGUUUAUAGGCCUUCUUUUCAGAGACGGAGGGAGUACAUAGUUUCGAAGUCUACUAAUUUAUUGGCACCUUCAAGGCCAAGCUGUUACUCUGUAAAAUAGAAACUUGGAAAACAGCAUCAUCUUAAGUUGGUUUAUAUUGAUAGUCCGAGCUGUAUUUCCUCUAGUUGUGUCUCUCACUGUCAUCCAUUGUCUAGAUAAUGGAAGAUAAACUUUACUCCCUCCAUCCCAUAAUAUAAGAGCGUUCUUGACACUAACUACACUAGUGUGGAGAACCCUCUUAUAUUAGGGGACGGAGGUAGUAGUAGAUUUGAGGCGUCACCCACUUAAUUAGCAGAAAGCAUCCUAAGCGUCACAAAGCAAAUUAAUAAAGUGAGAUGGAACUUCACCUUAAAAUUCGCUGCAGCAUGGUUGUCAAUACUGAACAUGAUUCCUUAAAGGUAGUAUGUGAACUGGCUUGCACGCAUGAUUGAUUACAAACUGAUGUAGUGAUUGCUAACCAAUUAUCCUUGGCCACAAUAUCAGUAUGUGACUAAUGUUAUUCCUCCGGUUGCAGGUUCUGGUGGAUCAUGCGGACUUCCUCAAGGAACUCCACUGAAGACGAGCAGGCUCAAAUUGUGUCGCGAGGAGGCAAACCUUAUGUUAGCAAUGGUCUGUGUGAUUGUAAUAAAACAAACCUUGUGUAGUAGCAAUGGUCUGUGUGUGAUGAUGUAAUAAAAGGGCAGCCUCUUCCGCUCGACGAACAUGCGGUGAUUGACCUAGCGUUAUCAAGUUGCUUGCAGUUUGAUUGUCACCACAAAGGUGAUUGUUAGUUCUUGAUAAACAUGAACUGGGGACUAGAUUGUGAGAGGUGAUUAGUAUAGUGCGGGAAAAGGAGGAAGAUGCACACCUACAGCGUAUACUAUACCCGAUUUCUACAGAGAGAAAGAAAAGAUCACCCUG